Molecule: long non-coding RNA, 2628 nt
Filed under: Nicotiana tabacum (common tobacco)
Lineage: Eukaryota; Viridiplantae; Streptophyta; Magnoliopsida; Solanales; Solanaceae
Description: long non-coding RNA (NTAB_LNC005255)
Source: RNAcentral
CUCAAUCUGAGCUCUAUAGCUAAAAAAUGUAAAAAUGACCGAAACCCUCGAAAUAGAGUACUUUAUAACCACUGAGCAACUUAAUGCAUCGCGAUCGCGAAGAAGAAAACUUAUACUCCUGUAAAAUGCCAUAAACGAUCGCAUAUGUCAGCUCGCGAUCAUGGUAUACACAGCUAACAAAGCUAUGCAUUCGCGGAAGAAACCUUGCGAACGCGAAGAUAUAACCAACACUGCCUCAGCUCAAACCCAAACACAAUGCGAACGCGUUCUCAACAUCGCAAAUGCGAUGCUUAACUGCCAUAACCUAUGCGAACACGGACCAUCACUUGCGAACACAUAGAAGAAGAAUUAGCCUGCUCCACUUUUCCUUUAUGCUAUCACACCACUAAGUCCGCGAUCGCGAUGAAGAAAUGCGACACCAGAUAUCAGCAGAACACAACAGUGAAAAAUGAAGGAAAAAUAGUUUGAAACCCGUCCGAAACUCACUGAGCCCCUCUGAACCAUGUCCGAACAUCCCAACAAGUCCCAUAAUAUAACACGGACCUUCACGAGGCCUCAAAACACACAUAACAAUAUCGAAUCGACGAAUCACACCUUAAUUCGAAAUCAAUGAACUUUAAAACUUCAAACUUCUACAACCGAUGCCGAAACCUAUCAAAUCUUCACAUUUGGCAUUACGGACCUGCUCCAACUUCCAAAAUCGGAAUCCAAACCCGAUAUAAAAAAGUCCACUCCCGGUCAACCUUUCGAAAAUUCCAACUGUCAUAUCCCUUUUUUUUGCAAAACCUCACUAACCCUCUUAAAUAAAUAAAAAGAUUUCGCAAAGCUCGAAAGAAAUUUUCAAUUUUGAAAGUGACAAAAGAUAGUGUUCAAAAGGAUUAACUCAGAGUCGCCACCUGACAUUUGAUUUCGGUGUGUCAGGUCACCGUUUUUCUAAAAAUAAUUUUUUUUUUCCUUUCAAAACACUUGAGACUCCAAAACUAAGUCUACACAAGAGAUUCGGGUAAGGAGGUUCAUUUGACUCGGGGAGAAGGUGUUAGGCACUCCCCAAGUCCCGUAACUAGUACGGUUGCAUACUUGAUCUAGUUAGCUUUUAAAAUAUUCAAGUUGAGGUAAAAUCACGAAAAAGCAAAAUAAACACACAUGAGGCUCGAGGUUGUCCCCACCUAAUAAAAGAUGAAUAAAAAUAAAAAUAAAAACACUACGAGUUCUACUAUCGAUCUCCAAGUACAAAUACUUCGGGGCAUACCCCGGAAUAAAAUAUAUACAAAUCUUUCGGGGCAUUCCUCGAACAAAUUUAACUAAGGAAACGACCUCUCACCUCAAAAGAAACUAAAAUCAAAUGCCCUAAAGGUUUUCCUACCCAAGCGUGGCCGGCCUAAGGAUACUACUAGCGGGUCAAUUAGCAAAUGCAAAAAACAAAUUCACAGAAAUUCAAUUGAUUCUAUUUAAUCCAACCCCACAUUCCAUUUCCAACAAAAUUCUUUCAUAUCUUCAUUCUCAAAUGUAUAGAGCAUAUUAUAACGUAAUUCAGUGAAGCCAACCAAGAUCAAAGUCAUAACACAUUAAUUCAACGAUUCGAGGAACAAAUCAAACAAAGUAAAGCUAACCAAGAUUAAAGUUAUAGCAGAUUCAAACUCACAGAUUAAUAAACGGGGAUAAAAGAGAUGAACCUGAAAAAUGAUCUUGCAAUUAAUAUAAUUUUGACAGUCCAUGGAUAGAAUACGCAGCUACAAAUGGAAUUCAAAUAGAAAAUCCAGCUCGAACAAAACCAAUGGACCACACCCCGGACGGCAACUCCAACAAUCGAACACCAAUUUCAACUCUGCUUUAUUUCGGAAGCCAGGACCAAAAUAACAACCUUUUAUUGAUGAACAAAGCUGAAAAUUACAUAUCAAUCGGGCUAAAUAAAGCAACAAUCUUUGGACCGAAAUACCGAAAUUGCAAACCGGAACCUCAAAUCGACACCCGAAAAAGAAAUCGAAACCCAAAUCGGAAGGCAAAAAGUGCCAAUCCUAAAUUGAUAAAAUUAUCAGUAAUGGCUUCCUUGGAGAUUGUGCUCUAAUUCAGUGGAGUCAACCCAUUUUCCUUGUUGGCUUUCAUUAAUUAAGUGGUCACGUGACUGACUUGGUCACAUAGAUGCCUAAAACAUUAAAUUGCAAGUCAAGGAUGUGUAGAAGGAGAUUGGUUCAUAUUGAUUCAUGUCAAUUUUUAUAUAUGGCAUCCUGAGAUUGUGUGAAUGACUUGGAUGGUUUUCAGACUCUAGGAAAAGAAGUUGAGCAACGUGAUAGCGGGGCAUGCCUUUUCCGAUGAAGGUUCAACUGAUCGAUUCUUCAACAUUCAGAGAAUCAAUCCUUCUUCUUGACCAUACUGCUUCAGCGUCCUUUUGAGUCGCACAAAAUUAAUUGCUCAAAAGAUUUUUCAGAACCAAAAUUCCUCCAGUUUUUUGAAUGCUGCCAUUUUUCUUUGUUUUUAGUCUAGGUCUUUGGGUGAGACGUGAUGGCUGGUCGUGAGUUUUUUGGUCUAGAGUUUAAGAUGAUGAUGGAGAAUGGUUGUUAUGUGUGUAGGAGAUGAGGGGACGGCUGGUGGUGUGUUGCGGCUUCUCUCCCUAAAGUUCUAGGGUUUUUC